RNAcentral lists this ribosomal RNA (465 nucleotides) under uncultured bacterium. RNAcentral's name for it is "partial 16S ribosomal RNA". It matches the Rfam family "Bacterial small subunit ribosomal RNA", at positions 28 to 507 of the family's 1533-position model. The record is from RNAcentral.
GACGAACGCUGGCGGCGUGCUUAACACAUGCAAGUCGAACGGAAAGGCCCUGCUUGCAGGGUACUCGCGUGGCGAACGGGUGAGUAACACAUGGGUGAUCUGCCCUGCACUUCGGGAUAAGCCUGGUCAACUGGGUGUAAUACCGGCUAGGAGCCAUUUUUAGUGUGAUGGUUGGAAAGUUUUUUCGGGGUUGGAUGAGCUCGCGGCCUAUCAGCUUGUUGGUGGGGUAAUGGCCUACCGAGGCGGCGACGGGUAGCCGGACUGAGAGGGUGGACGGCCACACUGGGUCUGAGAGGCGGCCCAGACACCUACGGGAGGCAGCAGUGGGGAAGCCUGAACAAUCGGCGCAAGCCUGAUGCAGCGACGCCGCGUGGGGGAUGACGGUCUUCGGGUUGUAAACUCAGUUCGCUAGGGACGAAGCUUUUUGUGACGGUACCUAGAUAAGAAGCACCGGCUAACUACGUG